Molecule: ribosomal RNA, 492 nt
Filed under: uncultured bacterium
Lineage: Bacteria
Description: partial 16S ribosomal RNA
Rfam family: Bacterial small subunit ribosomal RNA
Source: RNAcentral
AUUGAACGCUGGCGGCAUGCCUUACACAUGCAAGUCGAACGGUAACAGGUUAAGCUGACGAGUGGCGAACGGGUGAGUAAUAUAUCGGAACGUGCCCAGUCGUGGGGGAUAACGCAGCGAAAGCUGUGCUAAUACCGCAUACGAUCUAUGGAUGAAAGCGGGGGAUCGCAAGACCUCGCGCGAUUGGAGCGGCCGAUAUCAGAUUAGCUAGUUGGUGGGGUAAGGCCUACCAAGGCGACGAUCUGUAGCUGGUCUGAGAGGACGACCAGCCACACUGGAACUGAGACACGGUCCAGACUCCUACGGGAGGCAGCAGUGGGGAAUUUUGGACAAUAGGCGCAAGCCUGAUCCAGCAAUGCCGCGUGCAGGAUGAAGGCCUUCGGGUUGUAAACUGCUUUUGUACGGAGCGAAACGGCCUACCCUAAUAUGGUGGGUUAAUGACGGUACCGUAAGAAUAAGCACCGGCUAACUACGUGCCAGCCGCCGCAGUAA